AAACAGACAAAGCAAGGAACCAUUGUCUAACCCUAACAAGACAGAGAUAUGUCAACUUUUUUUUGAAAGGUUAACACACACUAAAGGGCAAUGCCAUUAAAGGAGAAGAGGAACUUUGGAAACUGCUGUCUGAAAGGAAAGCAAAGCACUCUUCAUUAACAGCUAGUGGGCUCCUAAUUUCUGCCCAUGAAGGCAUGUUCAUACUGACAGAGCACCCCCUCAAGGGGAAGAACCAUCCGCGCUAAUUCUUGUUGUCCUCUUCUGAGCUAGUGUGCUCAUUGUUCAUACAAACUAGUGUGUCAACAUUAAAACAAAAAGGGAGUUGAAUCAAUAAAUGACUUGGGAGGCUGUCAUACUUGUAACAACUAUGGCGACAGAAGAACACUGGCUGUAGUAUUUGGUAUUAGCAUUGGUGUCUGGAUCUAUAACUAAAAAAGCUUCUUCAUUUCUCCAAACUAAUAGAUAUGACAGAUAUUGCCACACUUAGCUCUACUUAAAUAAAUAUUCUAAACUCAA
Long non-coding RNA from Homo sapiens (human), 516 nucleotides. RefSeq annotates it as MTHFD2L antisense RNA 1. The record is from RefSeq and is a predicted model, not a curated record. The transcript is spliced from 2 exons. Lineage: Eukaryota; Metazoa; Chordata; Mammalia; Primates; Hominidae.